GCAAAAGCUUGGAGGAGAGGAGGAGGUAAGAGGUCACGGAAUGGGCUGUGUGGCUAUCAGAUGAGUUCCAGACAGAAGGGCAAGGACCACCACCCUAUGGCCAGGACGUGCCUGGAGCUGUUGAGAAACAGCAGGACCAGGGAAACACAGAAGUUAAUCACCGGAGACAAGCUCCAGAUGCGUACAGCAGUGCGAGGGCGCCAGAAAAAUCUACACAAGAAACCUUAUGAACUAGCCCUCAUCCUCCAUUUUCUCCCCCAUACAUUUACCUUCUCACAAUUUACCCCCCCAGGAAUUCGAGGUCUUUCUCAUUUGUCUUUUCACUUCUCUGAGAAUGUACUGUUCUGGCCAGGCACAGUGGCUCACGCCUGUAAUCCCAGCACUUUGGGAGGCCGAGGUGGGCGGAUCACCUGAGGUCAGGAGUUCGAAACCAGCCUGGCCAACAUGGCAAAACCCUGUCUCCACUAAAAGUACAAAAAUUAGCUGGGAGUGGUGGCGGGCACCUGUAAUCCAAGCUACUCGGGAGGCUGAGACGGGAGAAUUGCUUGAACCUGGGAGGCGGGGGUUACAGUGAGCCUGGGCGACAGAGUGAAACUCCGUCUCAAAAAAAAGAGAAUGUAUUGUUCUUUUGUUAGCAUGACAUAUAAGCCUAAGUUCUAACCACCCCUGAGUGUUCUCAUCAUGGAGUGCUCCCAUGGGUAUGCACACAUAAACUUCUGUUUGCUGUGCUUUUGUUAAUCUGUCUUUCAUGAGCCUAAUGCACAGACUCCAGCCAAGGAAUCUAAGAUCAAUAAAGAGAGAGCCAUGGAAUCUAAGAUCAAUAAAGAGAGAGAGAGGGAAAAGUAUUUCCUUCCCUACAGAAGUAUAUCAGGAUCAUCUACACAUGAAAUAAGCCAGGCACAGAAAGACAAACAUUGCAUGUUCUCACAUAUUUUUGGGAUCUAAAAAUUAAAACAGGUUGGGCACGGUAGCUCAAGCCUGUAAUUCCAGC
RNAcentral lists this long non-coding RNA (991 nucleotides) under Homo sapiens (human). Its description in RNAcentral is "HSALNT0262558". The record is from RNAcentral. Lineage: Eukaryota; Metazoa; Chordata; Mammalia; Primates; Hominidae.